This 267-nucleotide long non-coding RNA is filed under the name Rattus norvegicus (Norway rat). Its description in RNAcentral is "long non-coding RNA NONRATT033499". Lineage: Eukaryota; Metazoa; Chordata; Mammalia; Rodentia; Muridae. The record is from RNAcentral.
CAUGGGGCUUUUUGGAGCAAGCAUCUGUUAGAGAAGCUGACACAAAGGAGAACCCGUCACGAAAGCCUCUCAUUAAGAUGUGUCAUUCACUUGAACGAUACAACCAUAUGAAUCACCUAGCAAGUUCAUUUCCUCAUCCCUGCAACCUUAGUCCAGGAGGAAGAGGCUCAGAGAAAGACCCAACAGGAAACAAGACAGAUAUGAAAGAAUCAUCAAGUUCUACAGCAAAUUUGAUGUGUGAGGAUAGACCAGCCUGGCAGAUUCAAC